GACGAACGCUGGCGGCGUGCCUAAUACAUGCAAGUCGAACGCACUCUCGUUUAGAUUGAAGGAGCUUGCUCCUGAUUGAUAAACAUUUGAGUGAGUGGCGGACGGGUGAGUAACUCGUGGGUAACCUGCCCUAAAGUGGGGGAUAACAUUUGGAAACAGAUGCUAAUACCGCAUAAAACCUAACACCGCAUGGUGUAGGGUUGAAAGAUGGUUUCGGCUAUCACUUUAGGAUGGACCCGCGGUGCAUUAGUUAGUUGGUGAGGUAAAGGCUCACCAAGACCGUGAUGCAUGGCCGACCUGAGAGGGUAAUCGGCCACACUGGGACUGAGACACGGCCCAGACUCCUACGGGAGGCAGCAGUAGGGAAUCUUCCACAAUGGACGAAAGUCUGAUGGAGCAACGCCGCGUGAGUGAAGAAGGUUUUCGGAUCGUAAAAACUCUGUUGUUGGAGAAGAAUGUAUCUGAUAGUAACUGAUCAGGUAGUGACGGUAUCC
This 494-nucleotide ribosomal RNA is filed under the name uncultured bacterium. RNAcentral describes it as "bacterial SSU rRNA". It matches the Rfam family "Bacterial small subunit ribosomal RNA", at positions 28 to 480 of the family's 1533-position model. The record is from RNAcentral.